AGGACGAACGCUGGCGGCGUGCUUAACACAUGCAAGUCGAGCGGUAAGGCCUUUCGGGGUACACGAGCGGCGAACGGGUGAGUAACACGUGGGUGAUCUGCCCUGCACUUCGGGAUAAGCCUGGGAAACUGGGUCUAAUACCGGAUAUGACCUCCUAUCGCAUGGUGGGUGGUGGAAAGAUUUAUCGGUGCAGGAUGGGCCCGCGGCCUAUCAGCUUGUUGGUGGGGUAAUGGCCUACCAAGGCGACGACGGGUAGCCGACCUGAGAGGGUGACCGGCCACACUGGGACUGAGACACGGCCCAGACCUCCCACGGGAGGCAGCAGUGGGG
This 330-nucleotide ribosomal RNA is filed under the name uncultured soil bacterium. Its description in RNAcentral is "bacterial SSU rRNA". It matches the Rfam family "Bacterial small subunit ribosomal RNA", at positions 26 to 359 of the family's 1533-position model. The record is from RNAcentral.